AAAGGAUUAGUUAACCAAAUAACAUCAGAAUGUCAAACUGAAAUGAUCAUAAAGAUAUCCUUUU
RNAcentral lists this transfer RNA (64 nucleotides) under Hospitalitermes medioflavus. RNAcentral describes it as "tRNA-Asp". RNAcentral also lists the same sequence under 1 other name. Lineage: Eukaryota; Metazoa; Arthropoda; Insecta; Blattodea; Termitidae. The record is from RNAcentral.